AACACAGUUUAUUCAGUAUGACUGACUGCUAAUAUGGAUGUUUGUAUCGGCGGGGCCAGCGAUCCAACAUGGUUGGGCUUCUACUGAUGGAAUUAUAAACGAUAUUCUAGAAUUUCUUUAGAUGCUUUAACAUGUGUUGUAUUCUCGCAUGAGAAUUCAACUUUCUGGAUUAUUUUUCUUCUGCCUGCCAUCUGCUCGAUGAAAUGUGUCAGCUAUCUAACAAGGUUAGAACAGCUAACUCUUUUGGUCUUUAGAAUAGUUUGUAUCCAGCUCUGUGUACAUGCAAAAUAGUGUUGUGCUCAUUUUAUACAAUGCGGGUGAAAUUGAAUCACCUUUGGGUUCCAUCUAUUGCUAUGUAGAAUCGAAUGGAUCAACUUAGUUGAAUUGUUUUGUUCGUGGAUAUCAGUGAGACUCUCGUGCUCUGGAAGAUAAAGACAAGCUGGCUAGGUGCCUUCAUAUGGUCUGUGCUAGCUGCAAUGAUAUUCAGUGGUGCAUCUAUUUAAGAUAGAGAUGACCACUCUAAUUUGCCUAAGAGGUUGGAUUGCACUGUUGCAUUCUUUCUAAGGUCAAUUUGGAUAUUUGAUAAACAUGUUUUGUCUCUGCUUAUUUGAGAGUAAGAUCCCCUCUAACCCAGAGUAAGCUUUCCAUUUAGCAAUCAUCUUUCAUACCAUUUAAUACAUUUUUUUUUGCGGGGAACCAUUUAAUACAUGUUGCUUUGGGUUAGUUUGACCUUAAGAGUUCAGUGAACAACUAUUUAGCUACAUCAUAUUAUUAUUUUCAUGUCAAACUCAACUUAAUAUGAGAUUGGUUAUUUUUUGGUCGUUCUCUUUAUUACUUCAGGCUUUUGGUUACCCAGUGUGUCCUUCAAGUAACUAAGCCCUGACGUUUGCUAUGAUUAGUAUCAUUCUUGGUAUUACGUGGACUACUAUGGUAUGUAAUAGCAUUCAAAUUAGUCCCCUUGCUGUGGAAGAUGCGCAAGUGCAUAAAGGGACUACUAUGGUGUGCAAUAUCAUUCAAUUAGCCUCCUUGCUGUGGAAGAGGCUUAAGUGCUUAAAGGACAUUUAGGUUCGGCAUGGACGAGUGCUGAUCCAUUGGGAUCGAACCACGCCCACUCCAACCGCCAAGGGCAAAAUCUGGAUCCAGAGAACCUGCUUCAACUAGUUCGCCUUCUAUAACAACAGCUCUCGGCAGCAUGAAUUGUCGUACUCUCUUAAGCUAGUUGAAGGAUGCGAAAACAAUUUGUCUUGGGAGCUUCAACAUCCUUUUUAAACACAGAAAGCAGAAGGAUGGUUUCAACCCGCAAAAAAGAAGAAAGAUGGUUUCAACUCAUCCGAAUAAUAAAUUUUGUAAAAUACUUCAUUCGUCUCGAGAUAAGUGACGUGAAUUUAUAUAAGAAUCCAUACAAAUUCAAAUGACU
Molecule: long non-coding RNA, 1417 nt
Organism: Brachypodium distachyon (stiff brome)
Lineage: Eukaryota; Viridiplantae; Streptophyta; Magnoliopsida; Poales; Poaceae
Exons: 3
Source: RefSeq, a predicted model, not a curated record